RNAcentral lists this ribosomal RNA (254 nucleotides) under uncultured bacterium. RNAcentral describes it as "partial 16S ribosomal RNA". It matches the Rfam family "Bacterial small subunit ribosomal RNA", at positions 524 to 776 of the family's 1533-position model. The record is from RNAcentral.
UACGAAGGGGACUAGCGUUGUUCGGAAUUAUUGGGCGGAAAGAGCUCGUAGGUGGUUUGGUGAGUCGGGUGGGAAAUCUCCACGCUCAACGUGGAGGGGCCACCCGAUACUGCCAUGACUAGAGUCCGGUAGGGGAGUGUGGAAUUCCCGGUGUAGCGGUGAAAUGCACAGAGAUCGGGAGGAACACCCGUCGCGAAGGCGGCACUCUGGGCCGGUACUGACGCUGAGGAGCGAAAGCGUGGGGAGCAAACAGG